GGAGUUGUGGCUCAGUGGUAGAGCACUUGCCUAGCACGUGUGAGGCACUGAGUUUGAUUCUCAGCACCA
RNAcentral lists this transfer RNA (69 nucleotides) under Ictidomys tridecemlineatus (thirteen-lined ground squirrel). RNAcentral's name for it is "Spermophilus tridecemlineatus (thirteen-lined ground squirrel) tRNA". It matches the Rfam family "tRNA". Rfam says of the family: Transfer RNA (tRNA) molecules are approximately 80 nucleotides in length. Their secondary structure includes four short double-helical elements and three loops (D, anti-codon, and T loops). The record is from Rfam by way of RNAcentral. Lineage: Eukaryota; Metazoa; Chordata; Mammalia; Rodentia; Sciuridae.